AUUGAACGCUGGCGGCAGGCCUAACACAUGCAAGUCGAGCGGCAGCGGGAAAGUAGCUUGCUACUUUUGCCGGCGAGCGGCGGACGGGUGAGUAAUGCCUGGGGAUCUGCCCAAUCGAGGGGGAUAACUACUGGAAACGGUAGCUAAUACCGCAUACGCCCUACGGGGGAAAGCAGGGGACCUUCGGGCCUUGCGCGAUUGGAUGAACCCAGGUGGGAUUAGCUAGUUGGUGAGGUAACGGCUCACCAAGGCGACGAUCCCUAGCUGGUCUGAGAGGAUGAUCAGCCACACUGGAACUGAGACACGGUCCAGACUCCUACGGGAGGCAGCAGUGGGGAAUAUUGCACAAUGGGGGAAACCCUGAUGCAGCCAUGCCGCGUGUGUGAAGAAGGCCUUCGGGUCGUAAAGCACUUUCAGCGAGGAGGAAAGGUCAGUAGCUAAUAUCUGCUGGCUGUGACGUUACUCGCAGAAGAAGCACCGGCUAACUCCGUGCCAGCAGCCGCCGUAA
RNAcentral lists this ribosomal RNA (508 nucleotides) under uncultured bacterium. RNAcentral's name for it is "partial 16S ribosomal RNA". It matches the Rfam family "Bacterial small subunit ribosomal RNA", at positions 29 to 523 of the family's 1533-position model. The record is from RNAcentral.